This 497-nucleotide ribosomal RNA is filed under the name uncultured bacterium. Its description in RNAcentral is "partial 16S ribosomal RNA". It matches the Rfam family "Bacterial small subunit ribosomal RNA", at positions 28 to 507 of the family's 1533-position model. The record is from RNAcentral.
GAUGAACGCUGGCGGCGUGCCUAAUACAUGCAAGUCGAGCGAACAGACGAGGAGCUUGCUCCUCUGACGUUAGCGGCGGACGGGUGAGUAACACGUGGAUAACCUACCUAUAAUACUGGGAUAACUUCGGGAAACCGGAGCUAAUACCGGAUAAUAUAUCGAACCGCAUGGUUCAAUAGUGAAAGACGGUUUUGCUGUCUCUUAUAGAUGGAUCCGCGCCGCAUUAGCUAGUUGGUAAGGUAACGGCUUACCAAGGCGACGAUGCGUAGCCGACCUGAGAGGGUGAUCGGCCACACUGGAACUGAGACACGGUCCAGACUCCUACGGGAGGCAGCAGUAGGGAAUAUUCCGCAAUGGGCGAAAGCCUGACGGAGCAACGCCGCGUGAGUGAUGAAGGUCUUCGGAUCGUAAAACUCUGUUAUUAGGGAAGAACAAAUGUGUAAGUAACUAUGCACGUCUUGACGGUACCUAAUCAGAAAGCCACGGCUAACUACGUG